AUGCAUGCGAUGUGGCACAAGACCGGCAAUACCUUGCCGGCGAUGGUCAAUGGUCGGCAGACAGGCAGCAAAAAGGUUCUGGUGCUGCACACCAACAAGAACUUCGACCAAACCCGCAAAAAAGAACUUCGACUAGCAGAGGACCAACUGGGUGAUGCACCAGUACCACCUCGGGGACCUGGAGCAAGAGAAGGAGCGGGAGAUGGUCUUCUAAUUCUCUCAUUUAUUGAGCAGCCCACCCGCUCCCUCCUAUCCCCUCCCCCUGCCUGCCAGCCCCGUGAUCCAUCGCACAGAUGGCAGGUACUACAGCGACCUCCUCCGCAGCGGAUCCGGCCUCCUCCGAUGGAGAUCCAUCCUGCGCACCGCCUUAUUCUCAUGCGUGCACGUCUAUAUCAACGUCUCAUUCCACCUCACCUGAGCCUUUACCUUCCCACCUCUGCUUCAGAUCCACAUCACUUUGCAAGGUAUGUGCUUGAUUGUUCUGAAUUGGAUCGAUGGAUUAUGCAAGAGUCUAGGUGGUGGGCCUCCUUGAUCCACUUGGUGGAUGAGGGCGACUCCGGUCCUGGCACCCAUAGUGCCAGUGAUCCAAAAAUCAUAGGGCCUGGAUAUAGCUCAAGCAGACGCAAGCCACAAGCGGUGGUGGUGAUUGGCUGGGUGGUGUCGCUACCUUGGGAAGAGACGAAAGCCUGCCCACGACACCCUACGACCACGUACCGCUCGUCCUCCCACCUUCCCCGAUUCCCAACCAGCCUGGAUCCCAUCGUCGGUGACCUCCGCCGUCGCGCGCCUGGCUUAUACUCCUUCCACUCCUUGCCCGUGUCCGGCGCCCGCCGCCGACCGUCCCAUGGCGCCGCUACCGUGGCCACCCUCUUCUCCUCCCGCCCCACCGCGACGGUUCCGACACCCAGCGCCAUCGCCGGCCGUGGAUCCCGCUGGCCAUGGAUCUUGGGCGCCGCCGCAAGCUCUGAUCCCGCCGGCCGCCGUCGGGAUCCCCGACUGAAGAUGAGUAACCCCGCUGCCCCCUCACGGAGCCUCCUCCCUGUGGGGACCCACGCCACCAGGCCUCCUGCCGCCGGCCCCCAUGGCCCAACAUGCUUCCCGCCGCGGCUCCCCGCCGCGCCUCCGGCCGCCCGCCACCUGUUCCAACGCGCCUUCCGGUGCCCUCCCAUGCCCGACGACCCUCCAGCGGCCGGACCUCCACACUGGCCCCCUGCGAGAAGUUCGCAUUGGAUCCCGCCUCUCCUCUCGUGCGUCGCUAAGGUAGCUUUUGGUUUGUACCAACCAUUUAAGAUGGUAUCUCAUUUGAAUGUUGUAUGCAUGCAGGCCAGCGCUCUCUGUGGCACCGCGGAGCCGUUUGCCUGGCGGGUCGAGAAGGUCGUCAAGGGACCGUUCGAGGUCGCCGGCCACAAGGAUUGA
RNAcentral lists this ribosomal RNA (1416 nucleotides) under Triticum aestivum (bread wheat). RNAcentral describes it as "partial small subunit ribosomal RNA". The record is from RNAcentral. Lineage: Eukaryota; Viridiplantae; Streptophyta; Magnoliopsida; Poales; Poaceae.